ACAGAAGUUUAUUCCGAAAUGUCUCAACUUGGAAGCAACUAAGGUGUCCUUAACUAGAUGAAUGGAUUAACAAACUGUGGUAUGUUUAGACAGUGGAAUAUUAUUCAGCUAAAAAGAAAUGAGGAGUUCCUGUUGUGGCUCAGCGGUUAACGAACCUGACUAGCAUCCAUGAAGAUGCCGGUUUGAUCCCUGACAGUGGGUUAAGGAUCUGGCGUUGCCUUGACCCGUGGUGUAGGUCGCAGACUCAGCUCAGAUCUUGUGUUGCUGUGGCUGUGGUGUAAGCUGGCAGCUGUAGCCUGGAUUGGACCCCUAGCCUAGGAAUCUCCAUAUGCUGUGGGUAUGACCCCAAAAAGACAAAAUAAAAAAUAAAAAAUGAGGAGUUCCCAUCGUGGCGCAGUGGUUAACGAAUCCGACUAGGAACCAUGAGGUCGCGGGUUCGGUCCCUGCCCUUGCUCAGUGGGUUAAGGAUCCGGCGUUGCCGUGAGCUGUGGUGUAGGCUGCAGACGCGGCUCGGAUCCCGCGUUGCUGUGGCUUUGGUGUAGGCCGGUGGCUACAGCUCCGAUUAGACCCCUAGCCUGGGAACCUCCAUAUGCCGCGGGAGCGGCCCAAGAAAUAACUAAAAAGACAAAAAAAAAUAAAAAUAAAAAUAAAAAAUGAAAAGAAAUGAACUAUCAAGCCAGGAAAAGACAUGGAGGAAACCUAAAUCUAUAUUACUAAGUGGAAGAGGCCGAUCUAAAAAGGCUGCACACUGGAUGACUGCUACUAUAUGACAUUCUAGAGAAGGCAAAACUAUGAAGACCAUAAAAAGAUCAGUGGUUGCCUGGGGUUAGGGAGGAGGGAAGAAUGAAUAAGAAGAGCACAGAUUUGUAGUGCAGUUAAAAAUAAUUCUGUAUGAUAACAUAAAUGUGGAUACAUGUCAUUAUACAUUUGUCCAGAUCCAUAGAAUGUAUAACACCAAUUGCGGAUCCUAGUGUAAACUAUGGAUUUGGGGUGAUAAUGAUGUGUAAGUGUAGGUUAGGUUCAUUGAUUGUAGCAUAUGUAGCACUCUGAUGCAGGAUGCUAAUAGGGUAGGAUGUUGAUAGCGGGAAAGGCUGUGUUGGAGGAAUAACAGAUACAUGGCAACUCUCAGUAAUUCAUACUCAAUUUUGCUGUGAAUCUAAGACUUCUCUAAAAAAAUUCUAUUAAAAAUAGUAUAUAUAGAAGUUCCCUGGUGGCUUAGUGGGUUAAGGAUCCAGCAUUGUUACUGCUGUGGCACAGGUUCAAUCCCUAGCCUGGGAACUUUCCCAUGCCGAGGCUGUGGCCCCAAAAGAUAAACAAACAGGGAGUUCCCCUCAUGGCUCAGUAGUUAACAAACCCAACUCGGAUCCAUGAGGGUGCAGGUUUGAUCCUCAGCCUUGCUCAGUGAGUUAAGGAUCCAGUGUUGCUGUGAGCUGUGGGAUAGGCCAGCAGCUGUAGCUCUGACUCGACCCCAAGCCUGGAAACUUCCAUAUGCUGCAGGUGCGGCCCUAAAAAGCAAAAAAAAAAAAAAGAGAUAAACAAACAAAUGCAUAAACAAAAAAUCUUAAAAAGCUACUAUGAAAUUCUUAGGAAAUAAAAUAAAUACUACAAUAGACAAAUGAACAGAAAGACAACUAACAGAAUACAACUAAAGAUAAAAGACAACUAAUAGUAAAAAUUGAAUGAUACUGAUCCCCAGUAGUAAUCAAAUAAACAAAUUUAAAAUAAAUAGAUAACAUUAAGAAUGGCAGACUUAUUUUCCCAAGAUGAUGCCAAAUAUGGGCACGGGUAUAUGAAAAAAUACCUUCUCCUCCGUUGUUGGGGAUGGAAUAAAUUGGCAAUUUUCUGGAGUCUGUACUUAUCAAAAAUCCUUUUUUUUUUUUUUCUUUUUUGGCGGCACCUGUGGCAUGCAAAAGUUCCUCAUCCAGUGAUCAAAGUUGUGCCACAGCAGUGACAAUGCCAAGUCCUUAACCACUAGGCCACAAGAGAACUCUGUAUUUAUUCAAAAAUCUUGAAAAUGCACUUCAAGACUUCUGCUUCUCAACAUCAUCCUUAAGGUGAAAUGAUUGAUUUCCCUCUAAGAUCAGGAACAGGGUAAAGAUGUCCACUCAUACCAUUUCUCCUUAACAGUGUGCCAGAGGCUCUAGUUAGUACAGUAAGGCAAGAAAAAGAAAAGUAUCCAGAUAGGAUAGGAAGAAGUAAAGCUGUCUUUAUUUGCAGAAAAUAUGAUCAUCUAUGUAGAAAAUUCUAUAGAAUCUAUCAAAAAAAUCUACUAGAACUAAUGAGUUUAGCAAAGUUGUUGGGUAUAAGACAUAAAUUUUUAUUAUAUUUUUAUAUAUAAGAUGAAUUUAUUUUUAUCAAUAUUUUGCUUUUGCUUUAUAGCACCACACGUGUGGCAUGUGGAAGUUCCCAGUUUAUUUUUAUUUUUAUUUAUUUUUUGUCUUUUUUUGCUAUUUCUU
Molecule: long non-coding RNA, 2456 nt
Filed under: Sus scrofa (pig)
Lineage: Eukaryota; Metazoa; Chordata; Mammalia; Artiodactyla; Suidae
Description: lncRNA (ENSSSCG00040019616.1)
Rfam family: tRNA (bases 1205-1278)
Source: RNAcentral